CAGCCCCGUACACAAAAGCUCACAUGCUGUGAGCUCGAUGAGUAGGGCGGGACACGUGGUAUCCUGUCUGAAUAUGGGGGGACCAUCCUCCAAGGCUAAAUACUCCUGACUGACCGAUAGUGAACCAGUACCGUGAGGGAAAGGCGAAAAGAACCCCGGCGAGGGGAGUGAAAAAGAACCUGAAACCGUGUACGUACAAGCAGUGGGAGCACCCUUUACCUGUGUGACUGCGUACCUUUUGUAUAAUGGGUCAGCGACUUAUAUUCUGUAGCAAGGUUAACCGUAUAGGGGAGCCGUAGGGAA
Molecule: ribosomal RNA, 303 nt
Filed under: Salmonella enterica subsp. enterica serovar Worthington
Lineage: Bacteria; Pseudomonadati; Pseudomonadota; Gammaproteobacteria; Enterobacterales; Enterobacteriaceae
Description: bacterial LSU rRNA
Rfam family: Bacterial large subunit ribosomal RNA
Source: RNAcentral